UAUAUUUGCCCGUUAUAGAUCUUUCCUCUUUAGGAAACCCUUUGCUUCGAUCAACGGUUAUAGAACAAGUGCAUGUGGCAUGUAAGGAACUAGGUGCUUUUCAGGUACAUUACUUAUUAACAAACUAUACAUAUAGUUGCAUAAAAUCAGUUCAACUAUAAAACGAAGUUUUCCAAGAAAGUAAUUACUAGGCAGAGUAUUCUUUGUAUUGAAUAUAUUUAUUUCUUCACUUUUUUUUUUUUUUCCUUUUUUUUACUACGUGCAUGAGCAGACAUGUCGUCAACUUUUUUCUACGUCAUGCAUGCAUUUUUAACGUUACGAAAAUACGUACCACCUUAUGCAGGUGAUCAACCAUGGAAUUCCGAUCCCGAUUGUCGAUCAGGCACUAGAAGUUGCUGCGGAGUUUUUCGAUAUGCCGAACGAAAAAAAGAUGCGUAUUGCCUCUACUGAUGCUCGUGAGCCUGUAAGAUACGGGACCAGUCUGAAUUACAUCAAUGAUAAAGUUAAAUAUUGGAGAGACUUUAUCAAACACUACUCUAAUCCAAUCUCAAGAUGGAUCGAUUUGUGGCCGUCGGAUCCUCCAAGUUACAAGUAAUCAACUCACAAAGCUUCUCUUUUUUUUUUUAAAGUAAAACGGAGAAUAUUUAUUCUCGAAAUCUAAUGUAUUAUUUUUUGCAGGGAGAAAAUGGGGAACUACGCAAAGGCUGUGCAUAUCUUGCAUAAAGAGCUAAUGGAAGUAUUAUUCGAGAGCUUAGGUCUAAAACCAGACUACUUACAGAACGACAUCGAAGAAGGCUCACAGGUCAUGGCAGUAAACUUUUAUCCUGCUUGCCCAGAGCCGAAUCUAACACUAGGCCUUCCCCCACACUCGGAUUAUGGACUGUUAACCAUUUUACUCCAAAAUCAACGGGGCUUAGAAACUAUGGACAACGACGGAAAAUGGCAAUCCGUUCCUGUAAUAAAAGAAGGGUUGGUGGUUCAGUUGGGCGAUCAUAUGGAAGUACUGAGUAAUGGCCGAUACAAAAGUGUCGUACAUCGAGCAUGCCUUAACUCGGAAAAGAGGCGUCUUUCGAUUGCAAGUCUUCACAGUUUGGAAAUAGAGAAGAAAGUAAUACCUGCUCAAGAACUUGUCGAUGAGCAACAUCCGUUGGCCUAUGAAGGAGUGAGCUUCGGAGACUUUCUGCACUUCCUUUCCAAAAACGACAUCCUGGAAGGAAGAUACAUCGACACGUUGAGAAAAAAUCCACAGAUAGAUGCAUAAGAAUUUUGUUUUAUCGUUUUUGUUUCCUUCUGAAUUUACUAGUUACAACAUAUACACUGACGUGUAUGAAUAAAAAUCACUACAGUUUUGAAUGUUCUUUGAGUGUAAAGUAAAGCAUGUCUCGGAUAAAAAGACCUUUGUGUGAAUUGGUGAGAACCCGGUGAAUAUAAUUGAAACCCGUGCAAAUAUCAAGAAAGUGAACAUUGAAAUACAUGCAAAAUAUGGUAAUAGGUAGCAUUUAUUUACGGAAUUUUAUUUUAUCAUGUAGAUUAAACAUUACUCUUUGCUGGGAAAGCCACGAAGUUUCUAACCAUACGAAUCAUUUAAAAAAAUGGAACUCAGAACAUAUUGUUACGGAAUAAAGGAUCGAAAGAUAAGUCAUCUGUAUUUCAGUCUUUUCACUGCUUAUUUGCUUUUACAUGCAUUCUUUUUGCAAAAUACCGGAGAAAGUAAAGCUUUAGUUGUUAAAUGAGUACUUCUCGUAUUAGAACUUUCUUGGUCUCGACUGUUUUAAUAAAAAAAAUUGCAGUUACCAACCAUCAACGCUAGGUUCAAAAACGAAACAAUAGUUGAGAAGGAAAUAAAUGGAAUAUUCUUAUACAAAUAUAUCAAAAGAUUGCUGUGACUGAGCUACACACACCAUCUACAAUAGAUUUGUUUAUUUAAUUUUUUUUUAUAAAAGAGAGAGAGAGAGAGAGAGAGAGAGAGAGAGAGAGAGAGAGAGAGAGAGAGAGAGAGAGAGAGAGAGAGAGAGUAGUACGAAACCUGAGGCUCAAACUUGAAGACUGCAACCAAGUGACAUCCCUCUUAAUUCUCACUGAAACAAGGGGCGUGCAUUUUCAUUUCAGAUACUUUAUUCAAGAGAGAAAAUGUGCAAAACCGGUAUUUGCCUCUCCCAUUAAUAUAAGCUCGAGGCGGUUGAGGGGUGUACGUGGUGUGACGCACUUGAUUUGUUAACAAUUUGUCUUCUUCGGGAAGUAAAGCAAGAUGAACGCGCUGUUUGACUUUGAAUAUAAAUAAUAUCCAUUACUCUUAACCUUCCAACAGAAACAG
RNAcentral lists this long non-coding RNA (2314 nucleotides) under Erythranthe guttata (spotted monkey flower). RNAcentral's name for it is "long non-coding RNA (EGUT_LNC000782)". Lineage: Eukaryota; Viridiplantae; Streptophyta; Magnoliopsida; Lamiales; Phrymaceae. The record is from RNAcentral.